This 49-nucleotide transfer RNA is filed under the name Leptotrombidium chiangraiense. RNAcentral describes it as "Leptotrombidium chiangraiensis tRNA-Val". Lineage: Eukaryota; Metazoa; Arthropoda; Arachnida; Trombidiformes; Trombiculidae. The record is from RNAcentral.
UGAUAUGAUUAAAAAUUUACAAUUUUUUAUUCCAAGUUUGGCAUAUCAU